AUUGAACGCUGGCGGAAUGCUUUACACAUGCAAGUCGAACGGCAGCACGGACUUCGGUCUGGUGGCGAGUGGCGAACGGGUGAGUAACAUAUCGGAACGUAUCCAAUAAUGGGGGAUAACUAAUCGAAAGGUUGGCUAAUACCGCAUACGCCCUACGGGGGAAAGCAGGGGAUCUUCGGACCUUGCGUUAAUGGAGCGGCUGAUAUCUGAUUAGCUAGUUGGUGAGGUAAAGGCUCACCAAGGCGACGAUCAGUAGCUGGUCUGAGAGGACGACCAGCCACACUGGAACUGAGACACGGUCCAGACUCCUACGGGAGGCAGCAGUGGGGAAUUUUGGACAAUGGGCGCAAGCCUGAUCCAGCCAUUCCGCGUGAGUGAAGAAGGCCUUCGGGUUGUAAAGCUCUUUCGCAAGGGAAGGAAACUUACUUUCUAAUAAAGAGUGAGGUUGACGGUACCUUGAUAAGAAGCACCGGCUAACUACGUGCCAGCCGCCGCCGUAA
Molecule: ribosomal RNA, 500 nt
Filed under: uncultured bacterium
Lineage: Bacteria
Description: partial 16S ribosomal RNA
Rfam family: Bacterial small subunit ribosomal RNA
Source: RNAcentral